CAGCAGCCGCGGUAAUACGAAGGGUGCAAGCGUUACUCGGAAUUACUGGGCGUAAAGCGUGCGUAGGUGGUGGUUUAAGUCCGUUGUGAAAGCCCUGGGCUCAACCUGGGAAUUGCAGUGGAUACUGGGUCACUAGAGUGUGGUAGAGGAUAGUGGAAUUUCCGGUGUAGCAGUGAAAUGCGUAGAGAUCGGAAGGAACAUCUGUGGCGAAGGCGACUAUCUGGGCCAACACUGACACUGAGGCACGAAAGCGUGGGGAGCAAACAGGAUUAGAUACCCCCGUAGUCCCUGUCUCUUAUAA
RNAcentral lists this ribosomal RNA (301 nucleotides) under uncultured bacterium. RNAcentral describes it as "partial 16S ribosomal RNA". It matches the Rfam family "Bacterial small subunit ribosomal RNA", at positions 509 to 809 of the family's 1533-position model. The record is from RNAcentral.